UUUAAGGUCUAAUCUGCCCUAUGAGGAAUUAAAUGGCCGCGGUAUUUUGACCGUGCAAAGGUAGCAUAAUAAUUAGUUUUUUAAUUGAAAGCUGGAAUGAAUGAUUGGACGAGAAAAUGACUGUCUCAGAUUAAAUUAAUUAGAAUUUUAUUUUUAAGUAAAAAAGCUUAAAUUUUUUUAAAAGACGAGAAGACCCUAUAGAGUUUUAUAAUUAUUUAUAUAUACAGAUUUUUAGGAUUGUAAUUUUAGUAUAUUUGUAUUUAUUUUAUUGGGGUGAUAGAAAAAUUAAAUUAACUUUUUUUAUAUUAAAACAUUAAUGUAUGAUUAAAUGAUCCAUUUUUUUAUGAUUAAAAGAUUAAAUUACCUUAGGGAUAACAGCGUAAUUUUUUUUUAGAGUUCUUAUCGAAAAAAGAGAUUGCGACCUCGAUGUUGGAUUAAAAUAAAUGUUUGGUGUAGGGGCUAAAUAAUUAGGUCUGUUCGACCUUUAAAAUUUUACA
This 497-nucleotide ribosomal RNA is filed under the name Trochalus sp. DA4170. RNAcentral's name for it is "partial 16S large subunit ribosomal RNA". It matches the Rfam family "Bacterial large subunit ribosomal RNA", at positions 1844 to 2600 of the family's 2925-position model. Lineage: Eukaryota; Metazoa; Arthropoda; Insecta; Coleoptera; Scarabaeidae. The record is from RNAcentral.